Molecule: ribosomal RNA, 264 nt
Filed under: uncultured bacterium
Lineage: Bacteria
Description: partial 16S ribosomal RNA
Rfam family: Bacterial small subunit ribosomal RNA
Source: RNAcentral
UACAGAGGUCUCGAGCGUUGUUCGGAUUCAUUGGGCGUAAAGGGUGCGUAGGUGGCGUGGUAAGUCUGGUGUGAAAUCCCGGGGCUCAACCCCGGAACUGCACUGGAUACUGCCAUGCUUGAGUACUGGAGAGGAGAUUGGAAUUUACGGUGUAGCAGUGAAAUGCGUAGAUAUCGUAAGGAAGACCAGUGGCGAAGGCGAAUCUCUGGACAGUUACUGACACUGAGGCACGAAGGCCAGGGGAGCAAACGGGAUAGAAACCCC